This 614-nucleotide ribosomal RNA is filed under the name uncultured bacterium. Its description in RNAcentral is "bacterial SSU rRNA". It matches the Rfam family "Bacterial small subunit ribosomal RNA", at positions 108 to 718 of the family's 1533-position model. The record is from RNAcentral.
GAGUAAUGUCUGGGAAACUGCCUGAUGGAGGGGGAUAACUACUGGAAACGGUAGCUAAUACCGCAUAACGUCGCAAGACCAAAGAGGGGGACCUUCGGGCCUCUUGCCAUCAGAUGUGCCCAGAUGGGAUUAGCUAGUAGGUGGGGUAACGGCUCACCUAGGCGACGAUCCCUAGCUGGUCUGAGAGGAUGACCAGCCACACUGGAACUGAGACACGGUCCAGACUCCUACGGGAGGCAGCAGUGGGGAAUAUUGCACAAUGGGCGCAAGCCUGAUGCAGCCAUGCCGCGUGUAUGAAGAAGGCCUUCGGGUUGUAAAGUACUUUCAGCGGGGAGGAAGGCGAUAAGGUUAAUAACCUUGUCGAUUGACGUUACCCGCAGAAGAAGCACCGGCUAACUCCGUGCCAGCAGCCGCGGUAAUACGGAGGGUGCAAGCGUUAAUCGGAAUUACUGGGCGUAAAGCGCACGCAGGCGGUCUGUCAAGUCGGAUGUGAAAUCCCCGGGCUCAACCUGGGAACUGCAUUCGAAACUGGCAGGCUAGAGUCUUGUAGAGGGGGGUAGAAUUCCAGGUGUAGCGGUGAAAUGCGUAGAGAUCUGGAGGAAUACCGGUGGCGA